UUUUUUUUUUUUUUAAGUUUAACUAUUCUCUUCAUCUUCAAUUUUGUGAAAGAAGUUUCAAUGUAUAACUGAUAAAAUAUUGAAAAUAAGUUUUGAAAAAGCUCUUUGAUUAUAGUAUUCUUCAAGUCCAAGAGACAUAAAAGCAAGGUCUGCUAUGCAAUCCCAUACCGAUCGUACCAAUAAGGUACUAGUACAAUAUCGAGGUUCAAUUCAGCAUAUGAGUUGAGCUGGUCCAUACUAGUCUGAACCGAGCGAAACUGUCCCUACCACCCGGUGCCACUAAAAUUGGGGUGCAUACCAUAACACAUUGAACUAUCUCAGUACAAGAUGUGGAUCAUACCAUACCAACUGUAUUGUACUGAACCAGUAAGUACUAGUAUGGUACCUAAUACCGAGAUUGCGGACCUUGUAUAAGAGCUUAUGUUUUGUGCGAUUGGAGUUCAAGUAUAAAGAUAUUGAGAAAGAGUUCAAAAGGUAUUUUGCUAUUCUUUGAAGAAUACUGCAAGCAAUUUAUUGAUCCUUGCUCAUAGUUUAUCCACAACAAAAAGCAACAAUCUAAAUUUUUCUAAAAAACCAAGUGAUCGAACAUGAUGCAAAAUCACUUGGUCUCACUCUCCAAAAGAGCAGAUUGAUUCAAUAUAUUGGAUUUUGUUGUCUAGUUCUAUUGGAAACCGCAUGAAGUGAGAAAGCAACAUCAAUAAGAUAACGGCAC
RNAcentral lists this long non-coding RNA (712 nucleotides) under Phoenix dactylifera (date palm). Its description in RNAcentral is "long non-coding RNA (PDAC_LNC018601)". Lineage: Eukaryota; Viridiplantae; Streptophyta; Magnoliopsida; Arecales; Arecaceae. The record is from RNAcentral.